RNAcentral lists this ribosomal RNA (833 nucleotides) under uncultured bacterium. RNAcentral's name for it is "bacterial SSU rRNA". It matches the Rfam family "Bacterial small subunit ribosomal RNA", at positions 52 to 857 of the family's 1533-position model. The record is from RNAcentral.
AGCGAGCUUGCCUAGAUGAAUUUGGUGCUUGCACCAGAUGAAACUAGAUACAAGCGAGCGGCGGACGGGUGAGUAACACGUGGGUAACCUGCCCAAGAGACUGGGAUAACACCUGGAAACAGAUGCUAAUACCGGAUAACAACACUAGACGCAUGUCUAGAGUUUAAAAGAUGGUUCUGCUAUCACUCUUGGAUGGACCUGCGGUGCAUUAGCUAGUUGGUAAGGUAACGGCUUACCAAGGCAAUGAUGCAUAGCCGAGUUGAGAGACUGAUCGGCCACAUUGGGACUGAGACACGGCCCAAACUCCUACGGGAGGCAGCAGUAGGGAAUCUUCCACAAUGGACGCAAGUCUGAUGGAGCAACGCCGCGUGAGUGAAGAAGGGUUUCGGCUCGUAAAGCUCUGUUGGUAGUGAAGAAAGAUAGAGGUAGUAACUGGCCUUUAUUUGACGGUAAUUACUUAGAAAGUCACGGCUAACUACGUGCCAGCAGCCGCGGUAAUACGUAGGUGGCAAGCGUUGUCCGGAUUUAUUGGGCGUAAAGCGAGUGCAGGCGGUUCAAUAAGUCUGAUGUGAAAGCCUUCGGCUCAACCGGAGAAUUGCAUCAGAAACUGUUGAACUUGAGUGCAGAAGAGGAGAGUGGAACUCCAUGUGUAGCGGUGGAAUGCGUAGAUAUAUGGAAGAACACCAGUGGCGAAGGCGGCUCUCUGGUCUGCAACUGACGCUGAGGCUCGAAAGCAUGGGUAGCGAACAGGAUUAGAUACCCUGGUAGUCCAUGCCGUANACGAUGAGUGCUAAGUGUUGGGAGGUUUCCGCCUCUCAGUGCUGCAGCUAACG